Non-coding RNA from Podarcis lilfordi (Lilford's wall lizard), 137 nucleotides. The record is from the annotation of a GenBank genome assembly. NCBI's taxonomy places the organism in Eukaryota, Metazoa, Chordata, Lepidosauria, Squamata, Lacertidae.
CUUCCAGUAGCACCUUAGAGACCAACUAAGUUAGUUAUUGGUAUGACUUCUGUUUCAGUGUAUCUGAAGAAGUGUGCAUGCACACGAAAGCUCAUACCAAUAACUAACUUAGUUGGUCUCUAAGGUGCUACUGGAAA